Oryctes borbonicus is the source of this 2225-nucleotide ribosomal RNA. It matches the Rfam family "Eukaryotic large subunit ribosomal RNA", at positions 1 to 1888 of the family's 3401-position model. The record is from Rfam. NCBI's taxonomy places the organism in Eukaryota, Metazoa, Arthropoda, Insecta, Coleoptera, Scarabaeidae.
CGACCUCAGAGCAGGUGAGAUUACCCGCCGAAUUUAAGCAUAUUACUAAGCGGAGGAAAAGAAACUAACUAGGAUUCCCUCAGUAGCGGCGAGCGAACAGGGAAUAGCCCAGCGCCGAAUCCCGCGGCCGGUCGACGGACGCCGGGAAAUGUGGUGUUAGGGAGGAUCCGCCAUCCUGAGAUCGUUCGGCGCGCCCAAGUCCUUCUUGAACGGGGCCACUUACCCAUAGAGGGUGCCAGGCCCGUAGUUGGCCGCCGUCGAUCGCGGGAGGAUCACUCCUCAGAGUCGGGUUGCUUGAGAGUGCAGCCCUAAGCGGGUGGUAAACUCCAUCUAAGGCUAAAUAUGACCACGAGACCGAUAGCGAACAAGUACCGUGAGGGAAAGUUGAAAAGAACUUUGAAGAGAGAGUUCAAGAGUACGUGAAACCGUUCAGGGGUAAACCUGAGAAACCCGAAAGGUCGAACGGGGAGAUUCAGCGCGGCCCGGAUAACCGCGGCGAGUCGGCAACGUGCGACCGUUGGCGUUCGCGCCGACGGCUCCGUGUCCGUUCCGUCCGCGGCCGAACGUGUGCACUUCUCCCCCUGUAGGACGUCGCGACCCGUUGGGUGCCGGUCUAAGGCGUGCGGUCUAGUCCGUUCGAGUUUUCGCUCGUUCGAAACCGCGAACGCCCGACCGGCGACCUACCGACGGUACGAUCAUGGCGAGGGGCCGCGAUCAGUUCGCGUCCGGCCAAUCUCAAGUACGGACGGUAAAUCCGAAGCGCGGACCUAGCGCCGCAUCCGGACCCGUCCGACUGCUGGCGAUUGCGUUCUCGGACAGACCCCUGUUACACGCCGGUCGGCGGCGCUAUAGCUUUGGGUACUUUCAGGACCCGUCUUGAAACACGGACCAAGGAGUCUAGCAUGUGCGCGAGUCAUUGGGACUCGAACGAAACCUAAAGGCGUAAUGAAAGUGAAGGUUCGCCUCGCGCGAACCGAGGGAGGAUGGUCGAUCGUUCGAGGUCGUCCCGCACUCCCUGGGCGUCUCGUUCUCAUCGCGAGAAGAGGCGCACCAAGAGCGUACACGCUGGGACCCGAAAGAUGGUGAACUAUGCCUGGUCAGGACGAAGUCAGGGGAAACCCUGAUGGAGGUCCGUAGCGAUUCUGACGUGCAAAUCGAUCGUCGGAACUGGGUAUAGGGGCGAAAGACUAAUCGAACCAUCUAGUAGCUGGUUCCCUCCGAAGUUUCCCUCAGGAUAGCUGGCGCUCGCUUCUCGCGAGUCUCAUUCGGUAAAGCGAAUGAUUAGAGGCAUUGGGGUCGAAACGGCCUCAACCUAUUCUCAAACUUUAAAUGGGUGAGAUCUCCGGCUUGCUUGAACUGUGAAGCCGCGAGAUAUCGGAUCAGAGUGCCAAGUGGGCCACUUUUGGUAAGCAGAACUGGCGCUGUGGGAUGAACCAAACGCCGAGUUAAAGCGCCUAAAUCGACGCUUAUGGGAUACCAUGAAAGGCGUUGGUAACUUAAGACACUUUAUUUGUUUAACUUAAAACUAAAUGACAAUAAAUGCCCUAGCUCCGGUGCUCCGCCAGCGGCACUACACCGGAUGUCCUCAACUUAACUGUACAUUUUAAACGCAGAUCUAGCUAUCUAAAAACUACUCUAAUUAACCUAGGAUGAUGCGGGCCUAGCCCGCGCCCUACUUAAUCCAUAUAUAUAUAUACAUCGCAAUCUCCUAACCCCGCGGAAACAGUACCGCGAACAAAUGACCGCUUAGCUUAUUAUUAUUAUAAUUUUUCCUUUUACAUUACAAAUAGUACAGAAUUAUCCGCUUCGCUCCUGCGGUUGCCGCUAUUCCCUCGGGGUUGUUUCCUCUCGUCGUGUGUCCCUUCGGUUCGAGUGGUCCUGGACGUCCGCGAGUGGUCGUCCCGGUGAUCGCCUCUCUCCUCCGGGAGCCUAGAUUACGAUCCUAGUCUCGAGCUCCCUGAAACUUCCGUAGGUGAACCUGCGGAAGGAUUCAUUAACGUUUCCCAAUGCUUCUGCUAUUUCGAAGCGUAGAAACAACACCACGUUUAUGUUGUAUACCGGCUUUAUUAUUACCGGACAACGACGACAAACCUAUUCGAACUGAACCUCCCCGCGUGCGUCGUAUUAUCGUUACGCAUAAAUGUAAUGUAAUAGCGCCGGGGAGGAAUAUUCAUUUGAACUGUCCCGCGAACGUAUCGGUUCCGAUGCUGUCGUCGGGGGGGGGG